UAGCAAUAUAGAUAGCUGACUUAAUCCACUGCGCAAAUAAGUUCCUGAAACCGGGCCUUGUAUGCCGAGUAUGAAUGUUAGAAGUAUGAAGUUCGAAGUGUUGAAGUUUUUCAUAAAGCCAUGAAUCUUGGUUUAAUUGCGUUAUUACUAAAAUAAUUUUGUGAUAAACAGGGUCGAGGAUGAAGAAGACGAUUAGGUUAGGUUUAAGUUAUUUGAAUAUGGCAAAGCAGGCGAGCGUUGUCUGCCUAAAGGAAGGAUGCUUUUUUGAAGGACUUUCUAAGGGAAUCUGACUCAUCAAGCAGCCAGCUCUUUCGUCUUGGUUCGAAUCCUUGACGAACUACCAGCAUUCAGUAGUCUUUAAACCUUUCAGCAACUGGUUGGGCGGAUCAAGAAAAAGUUAACUGUAAUAGUCUAUUGGUAUCAUGUUUGUAUUCGUCGCAAUGUUUGAAGAUGGGUUACCAGUUCUAAUGUAUAAAAAGGACUUGCAUCACAACAUUUCCUGAUACCACAUGCAGAGAUGAAUUUCCUUUUCUUGUUAAGAGCGAUCUGAAGAAGAAACAGGUGUGGGUCAAGGUCACUUGGAGGGUAAUUCACCCACUUUCGCAACCAACUGAAAAGCUUGUAUUUAGAAAGUUAACAGAUGAAGUCAGAAUUAUCUAAAACAAAUUUGUAAAAUUUUUCUUAAUAAAACGUCUUUUUCCUCAAA
This 706-nucleotide long non-coding RNA is filed under the name Stegodyphus dumicola. RNAcentral's name for it is "uncharacterized LOC118186764, transcript variant X2". Lineage: Eukaryota; Metazoa; Arthropoda; Arachnida; Araneae; Eresidae. The record is from RNAcentral.